RNAcentral lists this long non-coding RNA (1513 nucleotides) under Daucus carota (carrot). RNAcentral describes it as "long non-coding RNA (DCAR_LNC001655)". Lineage: Eukaryota; Viridiplantae; Streptophyta; Magnoliopsida; Apiales; Apiaceae. The record is from RNAcentral.
UGUUUUAAAUUGAUUGAUUCCAGAUUUCCGCACUUCCAAACCACUAAAGUAUUCAAUUUCUUGAACAUUGACAGAUCUGGUAAAUUUUGGAGGCUUUCGCACUCAUAAACAUGUAGUAUUGAAAGAUGAGGUGGAAGUGGCGGAAAAGUCGACUGCAUUUCCAUAUUGUCAAUCUGUUUAACUGUUUCAAGCCAUAUAAAUUGGGUAGUUGUUCCAGUGUGGCAUUGUUGGAUACUUUUAACACUCUUAAGUUCAGAGGAACUUCUGGGAAGGAAGUUCCAAGACUUCUACAGUUCACUAAUUUAAGAUACUGUAGGUUGAAAAGCUUAGAAAGACUAAACGGUUUGGUUGAAGAGAAACUCUGGCCCUUAGGUUGAUAUUUAUGAUGAUUUUAGUGAUAAAAAUGAUACCUUAUCAAGAUUGGUGAGUAAACUGAUAUAUGUCCUUCACUCCGGUGACCAUUUUUAACCCGAUUUUGACACAGUACUUGAGGAAUUUCAUACAGCUCAAAAUAGCAGCAAACUACACCUCAAAUGCCUUCAUUUGCUUCAGAGCAGAUAUAAAUUGACACUAGAAGAGAGAAGGUGUUUUCUUUAUCACAUGAGCCCCACACAUCUCCACCUUCACUUUUCUGCAAAGUCUUUCUUCAUAAUAUCCAUCAAAAUAAGACAAUAUGCUGUGAAAUGAGACCUUGAUUCUAUCUCCACAUUUCAUUGGCAUGCUCUUUUGCCCUUUCAUUAUGUAUUGUAACCUUGACCCCAGUCCAACUGACAUUACACCUCUCCUUAUGCAUUCUACCCUCGAACCCACUGUAUCACCAAAUGCACUGGUGAGGUAAUUUAAUUCACAACCUUCUGUUUCGUUUCUGACAACUACUCUGAUGACUGGAUCACCCUUAUCGGUUUUGUAUCUAAAAACAAACCAGAGAGCAAAACCUAAGAAGUUAUCACCGAAGUUUGGCAGGAUAGCAAAAGAUAUAUUACAUCCAUUGCUUUUGUAGCUGAACCAUCUAGCAAUCUUUGUGUUUGGUAAAAAAGCUUCAAAUGAAGAUUUUAGUCCUACCUGCAACAGCAUUAUAUAUAUGGAUAUCUCAAAUUCUGGUUGUGUUAAUUGAGAUAAAAAGAUAGACAUUAACACCAACAAACCUGAACGGAGCUCUGUUUUAAAUUGAUUGAUUCCAGAUUUCUGCACUUCUGAACCAUUAAUAACUCCAAUUCUUUGAACAUUGACAGAUCUGGUAAAUCUUGCAGGCUACUGCAGUCAUAAACAUAUAGUAAAAAAAGAUGAGGUGGAAGUGGUGGAAGUGUUUGAAGUCUGCUGCAAUUCCACAUUGACAAUCUCUUUAACUGUUUCAGGCCGGAUAAAUCAGGUAGUUGUUCCAGUGUGGCAUAGUUGCCUACCGUUAACCCUCUUAAAUUCGGAGGGACUUCCGGGAAGGAAGAUCCAAGACUUCUACAAUUCACUAAUUCAAGAAACUGUAGGUUGAAAAGCUUAGAAAGACUAAACGGUUUGG